CGCUGGAUAACAUGGAGCGCUGCUGCUAUUCUAUUAGUAGUAGCGUUGCAAACAAGCGAGCGCUAGUACUAAGUGGGGACAACUAGCAGCAGUGAUGCUGCAAAACAAUGCGCUACUGCUAAACACUUAGCAGUAGCGCUGGAUUUUGGACGACGCUGCUACUACAACUAUUGUCGGUGGCAUCGUCUGGUUCCACAUAGUAGUAGCGACUUUUCAAUUAGCAGCGCUACUGCUAAGGUGUUAUUAGCAGUGCUUUACUGGAUCAGCGCUGCUGCUAAUUAUUAGUAGCGUGUUUUUUAUUCCAGCGCUACUACUGAGGUCAUGCCUAUAAGGUUUUUCCUAGUAGUUCAAGGUCACAAUCAUCUUGCCUGUUGGUUCUUAUGAUAGGUACAACUCCUGCUCUUCAGGAACAUAUUCAACGUGAUCCUCGCACGCGUUCUCAGCUCCCGUUGCUACGCAAAGAAAAUACAAAUCCAAUGAACACAUGAGUAGGUGCAAUGCUUCAAACAACAUGAUGCAUGAGUGUGGGAAAGAAAGGAGCAUGACAAUGCUAACUAAUCUUCUCAUGCAUUUAUUAAGUUGUUAGCAUUGUUGAUGAAACCUCAAGUUUAUUUAUUUUAACAUGCAUGAACAUGGAUGAAACGGACGCAUCAUGAGAAAAUAUUGCAGAGAGAUAUAAAAAACAUUGCAAACCGAGCUACGGAUCUCUCCCAAAUCACAAACAAGAUACAAAAGGAAACAUUGACUAAACAUCGCUAGGGAGUCAGCUAUGUGCAUUUUCUUGGUACUCCGAGUAUGCCAAUGGAUAGGGAAAGAAAUUCUAGGUGCAAUAGACCUAAAAUAAAUGCAAAACAAAUAUACACAACUAACACAAAGCAUAAAACAAAACCAUAACGACCAAUAUACCACUUUGAACAUGUGAAAACUGGAAGCUACAACCACUCGACAAGUUCAACCAACGCAUGGAUAUGAAG
This 974-nucleotide long non-coding RNA is filed under the name Hordeum vulgare. RNAcentral describes it as "long non-coding RNA (HVUL_LNC009418)". Lineage: Eukaryota; Viridiplantae; Streptophyta; Magnoliopsida; Poales; Poaceae. The record is from RNAcentral.